AGGAAGGAAGGAAGGAAGGGACAGUGGCUGCAUAAGGAUCUUCAGCAUUUCUUGGUGUGGUAAAUGGUCAGAAUUCUACAGUCAACUUGGUGAAGAAUUGAGGAGACUGAAGGUUGAGGGAAACUUGAGCUGAGCCCCUUCCUUAUCUUGCAAGGGCUUGAGCAAAGGCUGAGGACUGCAGGAUGUCUGUAAUGUGGGGCACAGAAGAGCACCUGCACAUCUCUACCAGCCUCUUCACUGUGUGAACAGGUCUUCUUGCAAAUCUGGUCCCAUAAGGAGAUAAGGAUGUGCACAAAGUCUCUCUGGUGAAGGUCAGAUAGCUUUUAUUGCCACCUCAGCAUGUGGAAGAGGAGCAAAGUGUUCAUUCUACCUCCUGUGUCAAGUAUCAAUUCUGACAGAAAGUAACCAAGACCCUCAUUAAACUCCAUUUCCAUAUUAAGUUUCAUACCCCUAAGAAUUCAAGUGAAAUAAAAGAGGACAUGAAACACAUGUGUGACCAAAGUUCCCAGAACUCCAGCUGUCAGAUGUAAUUUUUCCACCUCACCAUCAAGAUUCAAAAUUUAUAGCAUAAAAGGGGGAAUUUGGGGCAAAAAGGACAGAGGGGGACAAAACCUUGGCUCGGGAUCAGCUGAUAGACUGUGUCCUUCCUCCUCUCCUGAAGAGACACUUUUAGGUGAAAUUUGCCCUUCAUUGGAGCAGAGGUGGAAAUAUUUAUUUUUAUAUUUAUAUUGUUAGUAGAUCUCUGUUACUAUGCUUUCUGUGGCAAUCUCUGUAGUCAGUGCAUUUAUCACCAGCAAUUCUGAGCAUGCUUUUCUGUCCCUUCAAUAAUCUGUACUGUGACUCUGCAUCGUGCAGGUCCUUACUGAGCACGGUUACAGUGCUGAAUGGGCCGUGGUCAGAAAUCACAGCUCACUGAUCUCUGAAAAGCAGCUGGAGCACAGGGGGUUGAUGGUCUGACAGUUUUCUGUGCCCUGAACACAGCAGGUUGUAUGAUGCCCUCCCCAGCACAUUGGUCCUGCUGAUUCCAUGGCAAACAUGUCAGACCAUCUCAUUAAUUUAGCUGGAAAUUAAUUAAAAUGCUUUAUGCGUGUAUUUCUCUCCUUGCCAGUUUUUUUUCCAGUCAGAUUAGAGAGCUAAGUCAUCUCACCAGAAGCUCGGAGUAGUGAUAAUCCUAAAAGAAGCACUAAAAAUUAUACGUUAAAAAUGUGAGCACCACAUUCCAUGAUGCUUCAUCAGAUCUUAUACAUCUUUGAAGACAACUCAACUUUGGAGUCCUUUUUUUCUUUAACAUCAAUACAUUUUGGAAUGAGUAUGACACUAAACCUGCAUAGAUUAAGUGUUAAUUGCAUAAUUCACAGAACUGUAUUGUUGCUGGAUGCUAAAGUCCCUGUUCUAUGUACCAGAUACCUGAUUUGGAAGUCAGAAAAUCGCAGGUCUAGCUUAGAAAUCACUGCAAUUACUUUUGUUAGAAUGGGGAAAAUGUAUUUUCUACAAGUGGAGACACUAAGCUUUUAGAAAAUGAAAUAGGUAGAAAAGGAUAAAUGUUGGGAAUAUGAAUGGGGGGAAAAAGACUACAGAUUUGUUCCUUUGCCUUGAGAAUGCUUACUGUAGUACAGGAAUUUUAGGUACAGCCUUGAUUUUAGUACAAGGGGUUGUGUUCCAAAACGUCUGCAAUAAAGGAUCUACUAUUUGUUUUGGCCAAACAACAGAAUAGUUCAUUCAAAAUAAUUAAUUAGUGCUUACUAUCCAGUCUCCUCUCAUUCUCCCAUGAAAGAUAAGAAAGAUUUCUACAAAAGUACAUCUACCCAUUGCCACUUUACUGUAGUCUUGACAGUCAGGCUCCAGUCCAUAAUUUGAAAAGCAUCCUUCUUUAAUUUGUCAUUUUAAUCUCCUUUCACACAGGUAUAAACAUUCUCUUUGGAUAAUUGAACUCUAUUUGCUUACCCUGCUGUUGGUUUUGUUAUCAGAUGCUGUUUGUCUACCUGCAAGACCUGGCAGAGGUUCAAGGAAAGUUUUUUUUUGAGUUUGCUGCCAGAAGAUCUUAAGGUGAACACCCUCUGGGGGUAGCAGCUGUAAGCUUGUUCAAAAUUAAACAAAAACUGCAUUGGUAGACAAAAUAAAACAGUGAUUUUUUUUUUUUGCCACCACUGAGGCCAUCAGUAUUCAUACUUUUAGUCUUUGAUAAUGAAGGUUUGGAAAUGCUUGACAAAUUCUUUUUGAAAGUGAUUGCUAUUUUUUUUCUUGAUUCUUUCACUAGUUUUCUGCAGGCCAUAAUUUAGGAGAAAUGGAAUUAACACUGGUGCCAAAAUGGCUACAUGAAAGACAGCUGCCUUAGAAGUUACUCAGUUUUGAUUUAUUUUCCAAUUUCAUGUAAGGAGAUGAGAAAUAAAUUGAAAUUAACCAAUUACAGUAAUAAUUUUUUCACUACCUCUAUGUGAUAAAAUGCCAUCUUAAUACUGUGUUGACUCCUGCACAGACAUUCAAAAAUUUAAAGAAUUAGGGAAUCUAAAGAUUACUUUAAAGUUUUUUGUUCUUAUGUCUAAAUUACUAAAGGAACUAGAAAUCUUCUUUUUUUUCUCUUGAUAUUUUUUUUUCUUCUUUGUUUAACCUUAGAAAAAAUUAGAGUGUUUCUGGUAAUAUCUUCCUACUAUCUUCCUGUGCACUGAAUUUUAGGAGGCAAGUUAAUUCUUACAUUUUUUCUCUUUCCUUCUAUAAAGACUGCAUGAAGUAGCUAGUACUGCUCAAAUUAUAUAGAAUGCAUUCCAGAAAAUUAUGUAGUGAUAAACAGAAGGAAAUAUUUAGUGGUGAUUUUAUCACAUUUUUUUGGCUGUUUUGGAAACAUCAGUAACAACUUGGUAGCUGAAGUCUAACCUCUUGCUUAGAAAAUAUACAACAUUUUUCUCCUACACAUUCGUUUCCAUGUUUUUUUUUCAUUAGUUUUGAGAGGGAGAUGCUUCUUGCUGGCUAAAUCUGGUUUGAAUUUCACACGUAUUUGAAACUGUACUUUAUGUUUGCCAGUUCCACAUUCCGCAUUAUAAAAAUUAACUGAAGAAAUCAUGAUCUUGUUCCAUUCAUUGCUCUGCAAAGUUCUGAGAACAUUUGCUGUUUCUGAAAAUGUGUGUAUAUGUGUCAAUUAGAAAACUAAUGAUUGCUGUGAUGGGAAUGUUGAGGAGAUAGAUAAGCCAAUUUUAACCUCUUAAACAACAUUUUAUUUGACUCUCAUUCUUUAGCUGCACACUUCAUGCUAAUGCUUAGUUCAUAUCCAGCCCAGUCAAGCCGCUGCCCUCUGGAUGUGGCUGUCCAAGAAAUGCCUCAUCCACCGAACAGCCCACCCACCAAAUUCAUCUCUGGGCAAUUUAAAGGAAAGGAUGCUGUGGGGGACCAAAGCAAAAGCCAUACAGAAGUGCAAAGAUUACAUUCACAGUCCUUCCCUUGCCCACUGCUGUGGCCAGCACAGGGAUGUUUGUGGCUACAAUACAUCUCUGCCUGAGUUUCAUUUUUCAUGCAUGUCUCCAGUGGAGGGAAUGUUUGGAGCAGGUUUAGAAAGCAGGAACUGGCCAAAUGGAUCUGCACCUGUCUCCCAACAACCCAAGUGCUGCUCUUGAGCUGUUGUGACAGCCUGCAACAUCUACAUGCCCAAAGAAUUGUUUCUGCUACUCCUGGGAUGAAAAAAUACUUUCUGGUCUGGAAAACCAAAGUCAGAGGAAGCAAGAAGAACAAGACCAAGACAGUUUGAGUGCAGCUUUUUCCUGGGAAAAGAAUUAAAGAUUGAUUGAUCUUCUGCUGUACACUUCAUCAAUUUUUGUCUUAUUUCCCCUUAUAAAUCAACAAAGACCAUCAUACAAAUGCCAGAGUGCCUGUUGAUAACAGCAUGGAGAUGUACUCUGAUAAAUUUUUAAGGUCCUGUCAUCUUGCUGUGUAGAAGCUUUGAAUUUUAAUCUGGGGAAAUCUGAGCUUUAUUUUGAUGUUUGUCUAGUGCCAAACACAUAGAUUCUGCUUUUUGACUAGGGAUUUUUGCUGUAAAUAAGAUGAAAAUAAUAAUUAAUACAGUGUUGCAUUGUAAAAUGAGAGUGGUUGCACUGAAUCCAGGACUAAUAUGGGCUGAAUGAGAAGAUGGAAUGAAAUCUUUAUGUUGAGAUGAGUAAACAAAAUCCCAUCACACUUCAGCUAUUCAUUCUCCUUAGGACUAUCCUUUAUCAGCAGGUAAGUAAUAUUUGUACUGUGUAGGUUUGAUGAUAAAGAAGACAUUGUUAACUUUUCACAAGAGAUUGCUUUCCCCUACAGUGGAAAUGUAUUCUAUAGUUGAGAUCACUCUGACAGGUUUUUAAUUAGUCCUCGUGUUAAGAAGAGAUUCUUUUCUGUGCUGAAAGCAUGUGGGUUAGGUUUUUCACUUGUAUCUAGGGGUAAAGGACAGGGAAAGGCUGCUGGACUUCUUUCACUUGAACAGACAAGAGGAAAAGGCAUAAACUGUCAGACUCUGUCUGCCUGAUAUCAAAGUUACUGAAACAGGAAAAGCAUUUGAGUAAACAGAGUUUUUAAUUGCAUAAACUCUGAAAAUCUGACAGUUAUGGAAUUCAUCAUUAAAAGUAAUAAAUGAUGCAUCAGCUUCUGAAAAAUAGAAUUUUUUGUCUUUAUUUGGUAUUAGUCAGAACCAUUUUUAUUAAUUCAUACAUUAAUGCUUAGCAGGUACAAAGUGUUUUCCUUGAUAACAGAUUUUUUGUAGGUGGCAAGUUCAUCAAAAUUUAAUUGGGGCACUUUAAAUUAUCUGACUGUGGAAUAUUUUUAGUAUGUUCAAUCAAAAUCAGACUUGUCUUUUGAAAUGUUUUAAUAUCCUGAAAUCAUAUGCCCUUAGAUGUUAACCCUUCUAUAAACUAUCUUUAUGCUUUAAGGAAAGCAAUUUUAAAGUUUUUUUGUUGGACUUGUUCAAAUUCUUUAUAUUUUCUAAAUGUCAUGUUGAGACGAGCUCUUUGAAGUUAAUUCAUGCAAUAAAUAACAUUUGGUUUUGCCAAUCCUCAUUUUAAAGUCAUUAACAAGAAUACUUCAAACACAGGUAAUGAAAGGCAAAUGCAUUUGAAUUGGAUAUUGGCUGUUCACUGUCUUCUCUCCCCUACACCAAGGUGCACACACAAAUCACAACCCCAAAGAAAGUUUUUUGAUUUGGAGACCAGGUAAUGGCUCUGUUAUAAAAAACAAGAGACUGUGGUCUUAGCCCACUUAGAUUUUUAUGGUGUGUAUCCAUUUCCCCACAGAACCUGAGCUGAAGAUUUUGUGACCAGAGCAUCUCCCAAGGAGAAAACCGCCCUCUGGAUACCCCAGUGCUACUGCCAAAGGCAUAAAAUCCAGUGCUGCUUCUCAUCAUCUAAGUCCCUCCUGCUACCUAAUGUGACAUAUUUUAAUGGUGUUAUUUUAAAGGAAUUAUCUGUAAAACACAGGAAUUUCUGGUAUUGUUUCAGUUGUCCUAAAUUCUCAGCUUUUGGAUUACUCAUGGCUACAGUUGUUUAUGCCAUUGAAUGAGUGGUGAUAUUAAUACAGACAAAAUUGUCUGAGAUUUACAUAAAUUAUUUUCAAAGAGUAGUGAGUUUAAUGGAAUCUUAUGUAAAUUUAAAAGAGAACAAAUGUUGCAGGAAAGACCAAACACUUAGCAGCUAGCUGGACUUGCUAGGGUAGAACAUAAGACUGUACCUCUUGGAAAAAGUUCUAUAUUUAAUUGCUUAAGGAUUUUCAUAAGCAUUAAGAAACUGUCCUUCACAUUUAAAAAAAAUUAAAAGCUUUAGACAACAAAGUAAAUCGGGGAUUUCAGAAGCAAAGCAGCACUGGUGUUCCAGCCAUCUCCCUUGCUGCCUUUUAUAUUCAAGGUGUGUAAAUCUUGGAUGGCCUGACUGAUGUGAAGGGCAGCUCACCAGGGGCCCGUUAGCAGCUGAUGAUAAAAGCCACCAGGACAUCCUUUGGUACCGCAGAGCUCUCCUGCCUCUGACUGUUCUUCUUGGAAAAUGUGGGGAGAGUUGUUCCAGCCAUGAUAAUUCCGCUGCUGAUGACCAGAGAGCUGUUAUUUAUAGAGACUGCUGCAGUUCUGCACUGGCCACAUCCUGCCCAUCCUGGUCACGGUGCCCUGCAGUGCCACAAUCAGCCACACUCUGCUCCAGCUCAGGACUUACUUGUGAGCAUCAGCAUUUCUUCUCCUCUAUGGACUCUCUGCUAAGCUCUGUUUUGCUGACCAUUUAUUUUUAGCCCCCUCGUCAGCCAUGAGGGAUUGAUCUAGAAGGAGCACAAUGAAUAAACACAAGAAAAGUCUGUUUCUGUUAAGCAGGGUUUCAUAGCAGUCUGCCUACUUGCAAAGCUACUAUCAGAAUAUCUGAUGAAAAGAUCUUUAAUCAAUGGAUAUUAUUCUCACUUCUGACCUGGCUGACCAGGCUGUCUGUUAAUGGGAAUUUCACCAGAAAAACUCCCAUUACUCUGACAAGACCCCUUUUUCAGAAAUAGAAGACAGAUGCUUCCAGAUUUCAGAAAGAGCUUAGCAAAUGGAACAAAGUCCUACAAGUAAAAAUAAAAACUUAAAGAGCCAAAGGAAUUCUUUAGGGGAAAAAAAACCCACCUGCUAAUAAGAAAAUAAUCAGUACAAAUAGAAAUAUCAAUUAUUUUCUUCCAAACAAGACAUGAUUUUAUCAAUUGAGUUUCUCAUAAGUUUUCACUUUAAAAAUUUCCAAAAUAUUGAAAUAACAUUGAAGGCAAAAUUAAGAUUUGUUAUAACAAAGAAAGUCAAGUUCUGUCAGAAAUAUUACUGGAGGAAGCUCUGCAUGUGAAAACUAGGAUCUUCUGUCAUUUGUUGUUCAAAUCUUUCUGACACCAUUUUUCUGAAAAGCCAGCAAACAUGAAAUAGCCAAAAUUCCUCCAUUUUGAAAUUCAUAGGAAUGUUGUGUACUUUUAAAUAGAGUUUAAGGAAUAUUUCUACUUAGUCUAAAAUAAAAAUAACACCAUCUGCAGCCUUACUAGAGGCAAUUCUUUUACCCCUCUAACAAGAAUCAGAUCAGGAAAGAAAUACAAGGUUUUACAAGUUUUCUCCUUCUCUGUUUACCGCUCCAUUAUAUCAACAUUUUUGUAACAACUUCAGUGCAGUUAAUUUGGUCAUUGAAAAUCCAUGAAUGGCAUGGAUUUUCCUGUGUCACUUCUUUUUUGGGUAUAACAUUUCAGGAGCAGUCAUUCAGCUGUUCUGCCUCCUCCACUUCCAUCAUCAUUCUUUGUCCUUGUUUAGAACAUCCUCUGUCUCGACUGCAACAGUCUCAGUUAUUUUGUAUUUUGAAGUUGUGAUUUGUUCCUAGGGGUAGUUUUUAAAGAUGUGUGAAUUAGGUAUCUGCUACCCCUGCUUACUAUGACUCUCUAGACUGGGGUUUUUUAAAAACUCAUUCCAUCUACAGUGAAAUACUUAAAUUAUUUUGAAUCCCUUGUGUAAACACAGUGAUCUUGUGAUGCAGCUUCAGCAACAGACCUAUGUGCAACCCAUGUCAUCCACCUUUAUUACACAGUGAAAGAAUUGAUCAGGGAAGGAAGAAAAUUUCAUUUUCAUAUGGUUUGCUGAAAGUUCAAUAACAUUCACAGAACAGCCAGUACCCUGAAGGUUUCUCCAGACCAAAAUGUUCAUUUUGUAUGGAGAAGAUGCAUAAAGAAUAGGAGAUUAUGCAAGGGAAAAGAUACUUACUGCAGAGUAACUGCAAUUCCUUGACAAAAUUCCCCAAGAGGCCAGGCUGGAGUUUUUGCUGUGUGAACCUUCUCCAUCUGGUUUGAGGAGCUCUACAGGAACCCAUGUCAUGGUUCUUUACUAUGGAGGCUAAAAUGAAAAAGGGUGAAAACACUGUCUGAACCCGUGACUAGAUUGGGAGCUACUUGUAGGAACAGACUUAUUCUACCAAAGCAUUGCAUGUGUCACAAGGUUAAAAAAUGCAUCUCAAGUGGUGAUGGUGCUUGAACUUCAGAAGCUAAUUUCAGAAAAUUUACAUUUAAGUCCCAGAAGUCUGUGUGCUGCUGCAGAAAGUGAAGCAAUAUCAGUCCUGAAAAGUUAACAUUAUAACAACAAAACAUCAAGGGAGACCCCAAGAGGGAAGCAAUGCAGAAAAUGUUGAUACCAUAAACCAAGAAUUUUCAGGCUGUCUUUGAAAUAGUUUAAAAUGAUUGCACAGAACAAGAAGUGGGAAAAAAUGUAAGAAAACACAUUUGUGCGCUCUUUAUAGGAUUUUACCUCUUUGACAACUCUGCUUCUCAGAGCUGAAGUAGUUUAGAGGGUGUUUAAGUAAUUACUGGAAAUAGAGUUGCUUACUGUAUUUCAUCUUACACAUGACUGUGCACCCUUCAAGAACUGCAAUUGCAUAUAGAAUAUGGAAUUAAUGUGGUCCUUACCCAAAAAAAGUCCUAAAAAUUCUUAGUGGACAAUUGGUUGCAGUUAAAGUUAGACAUUUUGAAUGCGUAGAAUAAAAUUUACAGCUUUUUCUACUUGCAAUGUUAAAUCUGCAGAUGGCAGCUCCUCUGUCUCUUCAAGUGGAAUGGCACGAGCAGAAUCAUUCAGCAGAGAGUUUAUAUUAUUAUCUCAGCAUGGUGAAUAAUUGCAAGCAUCAAAAUCAGCACUUCUAAAAGAAGUGACUUCAGAAGACUUCAAGAACAUUCCAGGUUUUUCAGCAUAUGUGACUAAAAACCUUCUUUAAAUGUUGCACCAUUUCUGAGCCAUCUGGCCCAGAUGCAGAGCUCCACAGAGUGGUCCCACCAUUAUUUCUGUGACAGAUUCCAGAACCAGCUGCCCAGCACCACUGCCUAAAUGCUUCCUUUUGGAAUCAUCCACCAUGCAAAAGUACAUCACUCAUGGCAAUUAUGGCCAGUAAAUUUAUUUUGUGAAGCUGGUUAUGUCAACAUUUCCUGCUCUUCUCCUCCCCAUGUAAUCUCAGAAUUACUGAUAUAUUUGUGGUUCUGCAUGUGUUAAGACUAAAAUUACACUGUAUGUGCCCUAUUUGUGACCCUGUGCAUCCCACAAGAGAGGAUGGCCUAUGGAUCCCUGUUCUAUGACACUUCAAGGAGAAAUCCCAGGGAGAGUGAGGAAUUGCAAGUGAUAAAAGCACUGCAUUCCAUUUCCCCCUUUCAUUAUCAUCACAAAUUCCCAUAGUGUUCCAUAAAUUUAUCUUUCAGAAUGCCUCACUUUCCCUGUCAUUGCCUGGGAUUUUUGUUGCUUGCUUAUUUUCAGCAGUCCCCCCAUGUUUGUGUUUUAUGGUGCAUUUUGUUUUGCUCAUUUCAUAGCAAAUAUACAUAAAUAUUUAAACACUGUAGAAAUUUCCUUUCUGCUAUGAGUGAUAGAUACUCUGGGAGAUGAGAGUUGUAGGGACAAUGCUCUCAGGUACAUGGUGUGAUUCUUGGGGUGUCCUGUGCAAGGCCAGGAGUUGGACUGGGUGGUUCUUGUGAGUCCCUUCCAACUCAGCAUAUUCUGUGAAAUCAGAUGCUAUUCUUCUCCUCGUUGCAAACUUCAAAUUUACAAAAAAAAAAAAAAAAAAAAAAAAAGCCACCCAAAAAAACCCAAAAAACAAAUAAACAAAAACAAACAAAAAAAAAACCAAACCAAAAAACCCAAAAAAACCACUUAUUCAAGGGCAUAUUGUAACUUCCUAAUGUAAUAGCUCACUACAUCACAGAAGGAAUGAGUUCUUCAGGAAUAACAGUACACCUUUCCACACCUUUUCAAAGGUGACCUAUACUUUGAAAUUUUUGCCCCUCUAUAAAGACUUUUUAAUGAAAUCUGAGUAAAACAUAAUAUGUUGCUUUGUAGGUGGGUUUUGAAAUACCACUUUUGAAAUAAUUAACUGUAUACAUUUUCUUUAAUCUUAGAAAUUGGCACAUGCAGGACUGCAAGGAGAGCAAUUUCUGUUGUUUGUAGUUGUCCAGCCCAGGCUGGAAGUUAAUGGAGUUUUGCAAUCCAAUUUUGGAACCUGUCUCCAUAUGAAAUCAAUAAGUCAUUAUAUUCUUACCUGUGCUUCUUUGAAAGCACAUGCAGGGGUUAGCAAAUAACAAUUCACUAUUUCAGAUUUUAGUACCUUCUCAUUAGAAUCCAGUGCAUGUUAACAUCAAAUUUUGUCUUAUCUUUGCUUUAUUAGUUUACAUAGACACAGCUUACUGUCAGCAUAAAUAUUUUUGUACUUAAAUUUCUGCCAUUAAGGUAUAUUAAGACUUAUUAACAAAGGAAAUGCCGUGCAUUAGAGGCAUGAGCUCAGAAAAACCAUGAUUAAAAACUAAUUUUUUUUUCUGUGAUUUUUUUUUUUUCAAUCAUUUUCCUUAAAAGAGGAUAAAAGUUUAAGUGGUUUUUUGGGAGGUUGGGGUUGUUGGGUUUCUUGCAGAAAAAUGUGCAUCAGGGUAUUUUUUCCUGACAAUGUAGGUAUAGAACAGACUUGAGACUACUGAGCAGGUCUGAAAGCUUAAAGCAUUUAUAUGUUAUUUUGGGCACCUGUGUGUUGAAAUAAUUGUUUUGCUUAAUUUAUUGCAUCUUAAACCCAAGCCAUUUCUGUUUAUAAUUAGCAAUGUUUUUUUGCUAAAUCUACCUAUUCUUGGCUGCAGACAUGAGGUUGUCAUAUCCAUUAUUUGAGUUAGUAAGAUGCAAAGCAUUUGAUUUUUUUUUUUAAAUCUUUUUUUCUAUUGGUUGGGGUUUGAUUUUUUUUCCAAAACAGAACUGGAAUGGAGUUGUAGAUACUCUUACCUGAUUAAUUUCAGAAUUGUUUCAAGACACUGAUUUCAAUAAAAUAAAAGGAAAA
Molecule: non-coding RNA, 10772 nt
Organism: Taeniopygia guttata (zebra finch)
Lineage: Eukaryota; Metazoa; Chordata; Aves; Passeriformes; Estrildidae
Source: RefSeq, a predicted model, not a curated record